UAGGGAAUAUUGGACAAUGGGUGCGAGCCUGAUCCAGCCAUGCCGCGUGCAGGAAGACGGCCUUCUGGGUUGUAAACUGCUUUUGCCAGGGGAUAAAAAGUCCCUGCGGGGAAAAUUGAAGGUACCUGGUGAAUAAGCCACGGCUAACUACGUGCCAGCAGCCGCGGUAAUACGUAGGUGGCAAGCGUUGUCCGGAUUUAUUGGGUUUAAAGGGUGCGUAGGUUGUUUUGUAAGUCAGUGGUGAAAUCCGGCAGCUCAACUGUCGAUGUGCCAUUGAUACUGCAGAACUUGAGUACAGACGAGGUAGGCGGAAUUGACGGUGUAGCGGUGAAAUGCUUAGAUAUCGUCAAGAACACCGAUAGCGAAGGCAGCUUACUAGACUGUAACUGACACUGAUGCACGAAAGUGUGGGGAUCAAACAGGAUUAGAUACCCUGGUAGUCCACACUGUAAACGAUGAUUACUCGAUGUUGGCGAUACACGGCCAGCG
Molecule: ribosomal RNA, 489 nt
Filed under: uncultured bacterium
Lineage: Bacteria
Description: bacterial SSU rRNA
Rfam family: Bacterial small subunit ribosomal RNA
Source: RNAcentral